Ictalurus punctatus (channel catfish) is the source of this 1762-nucleotide long non-coding RNA. Lineage: Eukaryota; Metazoa; Chordata; Actinopteri; Siluriformes; Ictaluridae. The record is from Ensembl.
AAAACCUGAGGUAAAAAGUUGUUCAUGUUUGUUACAUAUUAUGAUUAUUGAAAACCUGAGGUAAAGUGUUUCAAUUAGCAGUAACAUAUUAUGAUUAUUGAAAACCUGAGGUAAAUGUUAAUUUAAGUUAGCAAUGUUAAAUGUUAGGACUAUUGAAACCCUGAGGUAAAGUGUCGCUUAAAUAAGCACAGUUAUAUAUUAGGACUAUUGAAACCCUGAGGUGAAAUGUUAUUUAAGUUAGCAAUGUUAUAUAUUAGGACUAUUGAAACCCUGAGGUAAAAUGUUGUUUAAAUUAGCAAUGUUAUAUAUUAGGACUAUUAAAUCCCUGAGGUAAAAUGUUAUUUAAUUAGCAGUUAUAUAUAAGGACUAUUGAAACCCUGACGUAAAAUGUUGUUUAAUAUUAGCAAUGUUAUAUAGCAGGACUAUCGAAACCCUGAGGUAAAUUGUGGACUAAAUUAUUACUUUUAUAACUAUUGUGAAAAGGUAUCAAAUGUGGCUACAACUGAGCACAUUACCCUUACGUUGCCCAGAUUCAUAAGGUAUAUUUUGGGUGAAAAUAAAAUUCUUUGUUCAAGUGGGGUCACGUUUAGGAAAGUGCUAUGUAUAGGAAACAUUUCCCUAUGAACAUCCCACUCGUGGUAUUUACGACUUCAGAAAUUGUGAUGCAAUAUUGACGUUGCUCAGUUUAAUAUAUCCAUUAAAGUUUAGUUAAUGCUCAAUCCUAAAUGUGAAACACUUAAGCAUAAAUUUUAUUGUACUUAAAUCCUGUAAUAGCAAUUUAUCAACACAUUUGAAGGAAGUGUUUUUAUUCAUAAUGAUUUUAUUUUUCUGUAAUUAAAAGAAUUAGUAGUCAUAUGCUAGCUAGCUAAAUCCUUUAACUCAAUUAGUACUUAGCUUUCGCUUGAUGCCCACGUUUCCCAGUUGCCUAGCAAUAGUGCUCUUACAAAUUUAAUUGUUAAUUAAGGUAAUAAUAUUGUAUAUUAGAGAUACUGGAGCUCAUAGAGAAUAAACUGUCAUUUUUAUUUUUAUUUACUCAUGUUACAUAUUAGCAAAUAAUUUUGUUUACGCUGUUGAAAAAAGUUACCGUAAAUUCGUUGGUGAAGUAGCUAAUAUUUAGGAUUUACACUACCGCUAAACGCAACCUGAACUUAUACGUGUUCCGCCAUUUUGAAAAAUGUUAACGUUGCGUUUCUCGUAAAAACACAGCGAACACAUGAAAUCAUCUAAAGCGAGCAUAAUUACUGCCCCAUUGUUUACGUUCGGAUUGAUCAUUAUACGCAUCACACUGAUGGUCAGGGACAGUGUCAGUGAUCUAUAGACUCAUCUCAAAGCCCCAUAAUUCCUCAGUCCAUUUCACUGCUGAGCACUAAAGCUGACGGGGUCAAAGGUUACCAACCUGCCAACUGGGGCAUUAACCUCUGGGUCAAUGCUGGCUCUGCAGGGCGUGUGUGUGUGUGUGUGUGUGUGUGUGUGUGUGUGUGUAUGGUUUGGUCCUUAAAUAGGAACAAUCAUGCUGAGAGAGAACCACACAGCCAGAAAGACAGAACUCUUAAGGCCUUCAGAGAGAGGAUGUUGGUGUGUGUGUGUGUGUGUGUGUGUGUGUGUGUGUGUGUGUGUGUGUGCGUGUGUGUGUGUGUGUGUGUGGUGGAGCUCAACUUUAACCCUGCUGCUCAGACAGUGUAGAUGUCAAUAACUUCUCAGCGACGUGAUGGCAGUAAGAAAUGUAUUACAAUUCUGUAAUAACUCCUUUUCUUCUCUUUUC